GUCUAUGGCCAUGCCACCCUGAACAAGCCCAAUCCCAUCUGAUCUCAGAAGAUAAACAGAGUCAGGCCUGGUUAGUACUUGGAUGGUAGACCACAAAGGAAGACCUGGCACUACAAGCA
RNAcentral lists this ribosomal RNA (119 nucleotides) under Pteropus alecto (black flying fox). Lineage: Eukaryota; Metazoa; Chordata; Mammalia; Chiroptera; Pteropodidae. The record is from RNAcentral.